ACGCCUGUACGCUUUGUCAUAUUGACACAAAAAUUGACACACAUAUGUAUCUCAAUAAGAUCUACAAAAAAGUCAGUGCGGGCGUAUCUGUCAAAUGUACGGUUAAAGGGUUAUUUCGCAUUUUUUUGCCGAUCCGCACACAUUGGAAUUUCGCUAACUCCUCCGAAGGCUUUCGUUCCACCGGCACCACAUUUGCUCAGGCCAAUCUACACCCCAUGGCCAUUAAAAGUUAUUCAAAUCAUGACGCUGCACCCCACGGUUUACAUUCUAG
Xyrichtys novacula (pearly razorfish) is the source of this 271-nucleotide non-coding RNA. Lineage: Eukaryota; Metazoa; Chordata; Actinopteri; Labriformes; Labridae. The record is from the annotation of a GenBank genome assembly.